UACUAUCCUUCUGACCCUAUGUAGCCAGGUCCAUCUACUAUCCUUCUGACCCUAUGUAGCCAGGUCCAUCUACUAUCCUUCUGACCCUAUGUAGCCAGGUCCCAUCUACUAUCCUUCUGACCCUAUGUAGCCAGGUCCCAUCUACUAUCCUUCUGACCCUAUGUAGCCAGGUCCAUCUACUAUCCUUCUGACCCUAUGUAGCCAGUUCCCAUCUACUAUCCUUCUGACCCUAUGUAGCCAGUUCCCAUCUACUAUCCUUCUGACCCUAUGUAGCCAGUUCCCAUCUACUAUCCUUCUGACCCUAUGUAGCCAGUUCCCAUCUACUAUCCUUCUGACCCUAUGUAGCCAGGUCCCAUCUACUAUCCUUCUGACCCUAUGUAGCCAGGUCCAUCUACUAUCCUUCUGUCCCUAUGUAGCCAGGUCCAUCUACUAUCCUUCUGACCCUAUGUAGCCAGGUCCAUCUACUAUCCUUCUGACCCUAUGUAGCCAGGUCCCAUCUACUAUCCUUCUGACCCUAUGUAGCCAGGUCCCAUCUACUAUCCUUCUGACCCUAUGUAGCCAGGUCCCAUCUACUAUCCUUCUGACCCUAUGUAGCCAGGUCCAUCUACUAUCCUUCUGACCCUAUGUAGCCAGGUCCAUCUACUAUCCUUCUGACCCUAUGUAGCCAGGUCCAUCUACUAUCCUUCUGACCCAGGUCCAUCUACUAUCCUUCUGACCCUAUGUAGCCAGGUCCAUCUACUAUCCUUCUGACCCUAUGUAGCCAGGUCCAUCUAUUAUCCUUCUGACCCUAUGCAGCCAGGUCCAUCUACUAUCCUUCUGACCCUAUGUAGCCAGGUCCAUCUACUAUCCUUCUGACCCUAUGUAGCCAGGUCCAUCUACUAUCCUUCUGACCCAGGUCCAUCUACUAUCCUUCUGACCCUAUGUAGCCAGGUCCCAUCUACUAUCCUUCUGACCCUAUGUAGCCAGGUCCAUCUACUAUCCUUCUGACCCUAUGUAGCCAGGUCCCAUCUACUAUCCUUCUGACCCUAUGUAGCCAGGUCCAUCUACUAUCCUUCUGACCCUAUGUAGCCAGGUCCAUCUACUAUCCUUCUGACCCUAUGUAGCCAGGUCCAUCUACUAUCCUUCUGACCCUAUGUAGCCAGGUCCCAUCUACUAUCCUUCUGACCCUAUGUAGCCUGGUCCCAUCUACUAUCCUCCUGACCCAGGUCCCAUCUACUAUCCUUCUGACCCUAUGUAGCCAGGUCCCAUCUACUAUCCUUCUGACCCUAUGUAGCCAGGUCCAUCUACUAUCCUUCUGACCCUAUGUAGCCAGGUCCCAUCUACUAUCCUUCUGACCCUAUGUAGCCAGGUCCAUCUACUAUCCUUCUGACCCUAUGUAGCCAGGUCCAUCUACUAUCCUUCUGACCCUAUGUAGCCAGGUCCCAUCUACUAUCCUUCUGACCCUAUGUAGCCAGGUCCAUCUACUAUCCAUCUGACCCUAUGUAGCCAGGUCCCAUCUACUAUCCUUCUGACCCUAUAUAGCCAGGUCCAAUCUACUAUCCUUCUGACCCUAUGUAGCCAGGUCCCAUCUACUAUCCUUCUGACCCAGGUCCCAUCUACUAUCCUUGUGAUCCUAUGUAGCCAGGUCCAUCUACUAUCCUUCUGACCCAGGUGCAUCUACUAUCCUUGUGACCCUAUGUAGCCAGGUCCCAUCUACUAUCCUUCUGACCCUAUGUAGCCAGGUCCAUCUACUAUCCUUCUGACCCUAUGUAGCCAGGUCCAUCUACUAUCCUUCUGACCCAGGUCCAUCUACUAUCCUUCUGACCCUAUGUAGCCAGGUCCAUCUACUAUCCUUCUGACCCUAUGUAGCCAGGUCCAUCUACUAUCCUUCUGACCCUAUGUAGCCAGUUCCCAUCUACUAUCCUUCUGACCCUAUGUAGCCAGGUCCAUCUACUAUCCUUCUGACCCUAUGUAGCCAGUUCCCAUCUACUAUCCUUCUGACCCUAUGUAGCCAGUUCCCAUCUACUAUCCUUCUGACCCUAUGUAGCCAGGUCCAUCUACUAUCCUUCUGACCCUAUGUAGCCAGGUCCCAUCUACUAUCCUUCUGACCCUAUGUAGCCUGGUCCCAUCUACUAUCCUCCUGACCCAGGUCCCAUCUACUAUCCUUCUGACCCUAUGUAGCCAGGUCCCAUCUACUAUCCUUCUGACCCUAUGUAGCCAGGUCCCAUCUACUAUCCUUCUGACCCUAUGUAGCCAGGUCCAUCUACUAUCCUUCUGACCCUAUGUAGCCAGGUCCAUCUACUAUCCUUCUGACCCAGGUCCAUCUACUAUCCUUCUGACCCUAUGUAGCCAGGUCCAUCUACUAUCCUUCUGACCCUAUGUAGCCAGGUCCAUCUACUAUCCUUCUGACCCUAUGUAGCCAGUUCCCAUCUACUAUCCUUCUGACCCUAUGUAGCCAGGUCCAUCUACUAUCCUUCUGACCCUAUGUAGCCAGUUCCCAUCUACUAUCCUUCUGACCCUAUGUAGCCAGUUCCCAUCUACUAUCCUUCUGACCCUAUGUAGCCAGGUCCCAUCUACUAUCCUUCUGACCCUAUGUAGCCAGGUCCCAUCUACUAUCCUUCUGACCCUAUGUAGCCAGGUCCCAUCUACUAUCCUUCUGACCCUAUGUAGCCAGGUCCAUCUACUAUCCUUCUGACCCUAUGUAGCCAGGUCCAUCUACUAUCCUUCUGACCCUAUGUAGCCAGGUCCAUCUACUAUCCUUCUGACCCUAUGUAGCCAGGUCCCAUCUACUAUCCUUCUGACCCUAUGUAGCCAGGUCCCAUCUACUAUCCUUCUGACCCUAUGUAGCCAGGUCCCAUCUACUAUCCUUCUGACCCUAUGUAGCCAGGUCCAUCUACUAUCCUUCUGACCCUAUGUAGCCAGGUCCCAUCUACUAUCCUUCUGACCCUAUGUAGCCAGGCCCAUCUACUAUCCUUCUGACCCCAUGUAGCCAGAUCCAUCUACUAUCCUUCUGACCCUAUGUAGCCAGGUCCCAUCUACUAUCCUUCUGACCCUAUGUAGCCAGGUCCCAUCUACUAUCCUUCUGACCCUAUGUAGCCAGGUCCAUCUACUAUCCUUCUGACCCUAUGUAGCCAGGUCCCAUCUACUAUCCUUCUGACCCUAUGUAGCCAGGUCCAUCUACUAUCCUUCUGACCCUAUGUAGCCAGGUCCAUCUACUAUCCUCCUGACCCUAUGUAGCCAGGUCCCAUCUACUAUCCUUCUGACCCAGGUCCAUCUACUAUCCUCCUGACCCUAUGUAGCCAGGUCCAUCUACUAUCCUUCUGACCCAGGUCCAUCUACUAUCCUUCUGACCCUAUGUAGCCAGGUCCCAUCUACUAUCCUUCUGACCCUAUGUAGCCAGGUCCAUCUACUAUCCUUCUGACCCUAUGUAGCCAGGUCCCAUCUACUAUCCUUCUGACCCUAUGUAGUCAGGUCCAUCUACGAUCCUUCUGACCCUAUGUAGCCAGGUCCCAUCUACUAUCCUUCUGACCCUAUGUAGCCAGGUCCCAUCUACUAUCCUUCUGACCCUAUGUAGCCAGGUCCCAUCUACUAUCCUUCUGACCCUAUGUAGCCAGGUCCAUCUACUAUCCUCCUGAUCCUAUGUAGCCAGGUCCAUCUACUAUCCUUCUGACCCAGGUCCAUCUACUAUCCUUCUGACCCUAUGUAGCCAAGUCCCAUCUACUAUCCUUCUGACCCUAUGUAGCCAGGUCCCAUCUACUAUCCUUCUGACCCUAUGUAGCCAGGUCCAUCUACUAUCCUUCUGACUCUAUGUAGCCAGGUCCCAUCUACUAUCCUUCUGACCCUAUGUAGCCAGGUCCAUCUACUAUCCUUCUGACCCUAUGUAGCCAGGUCCAUCUACUAUCCUUCUGACCCUAUGUAGCCAGGUCCCAUCUACUAUCCUUCUGACCCUAUGUAGCCAGGUCCCAUCUACUAUCCUUCUGACCCUAUGUAGCCAGGUCCAUCUACUAUCCUUCUGACCCUAUGUAGCCAGUUCCCAUCUACUAUCCUUCUGACCCUAUGUAGCCAGUUCCCAUCUACUAUCCUUCUGACCCUAUGUAGCCAGUUCCCAUCUACUAUCCUUCUGACCCUAUGUAGCCAGUUCCCAUCUACUAUCCUUCUGACCCUAUGUAGCCAGGUCCCAUCUACUAUCCUUCUGACCCUAUGUAGCCAGGUCCAUCUACUAUCCUUCUGUCCCUAUGUAGCCAGGUCCAUCUACUAUCCUUCUGACCCUAUGUAGCCAGGUCCAUCUACUAUCCUUCUGACCCUAUGUAGCCAGGUCCCAUCUACUAUCCUUCUGACCCUAUGUAGCCAGGUCCCAUCUACUAUCCUUCUGACCCUAUGUAGCCAGGUCCCAUCUACUAUCCUUCUGACCCUAUGUAGCCAGGUCCAUCUACUAUCCUUCUGACCCUAUGUAGCCAGGUCCAUCUACUAUCCUUCUGACCCUAUGUAGCCAGGUCCAUCUACUAUCCUUCUGACCCAGGUCCAUCUACUAUCCUUCUGACCCUAUGUAGCCAGGUCCAUCUACUAUCCUUCUGACCCUAUGUAGCCAGGUCCAUCUAUUAUCCUUCUGACCCUAUGCAGCCAGGUCCAUCUACUAUCCUUCUGACCCUAUGUAGCCAGGUCCAUCUACUAUCCUUCUGACCCUAUGUAGCCAGGUCCAUCUA
Molecule: long non-coding RNA, 4682 nt
Organism: Oncorhynchus keta (chum salmon)
Lineage: Eukaryota; Metazoa; Chordata; Actinopteri; Salmoniformes; Salmonidae
Exons: 4
Source: RefSeq, a predicted model, not a curated record